GGAGGAGAUUUUUGGAUUGUAAACCUCUUUUUUAAAGGAAGAAGAAAGUGACGGUACUUUAAGAAUCAGCAUCGGCUAACUCCGUGCCAGCAGCCGCGGUAAUACGGAGGAUGCAAGCGUUAUCCGGAAUCAUUGGGCGUAAAGCGUCCGCAGGUGGCUGUUCAAGUCUGCUGUUAAAGACAGAAGCUCAACUUCUGAGCAGCAGUGGAAACUGGGCAGCUAGAGUACGGUAGGGGUUGAGGGAAUUCCCAGUGUAGCGGUGAAAUGCGUAGAUAUUGGGAAGAACACCAGUGGCGAAGGCGCUCAACUGGGCCGUAACUGACACUCAGGGACGAAAGCUAGGGUAGCGAAAGGGAUUAGAUACCCCUGUAGUCUUAGCUGUAAACGAUGAACACUAGGCGUUGCUUGUAUCGACCCGAGCAGUGCCGUAGCCAACGCGUUAAGUGUUCCGCCUGGGGAGUACGCACGCAAGUGUGAAACUCARAGGAAUUGACGGGGGCCCGCACAAGCGGUGGAGUAUGUGGUUUAAUUCGAUGCAACGCGAAGAACCUUACCAGGACUUGACAUCUCGAGAACUUGGUUUAAUAGCCAAGGUGCCUUAGGGAACUCGAAGACAGGUGGUGCAUGGCUGUCGUCAGCUCGUGUCGUGAGAUGUUGGGUUAAGUCCCGCAACGAGCGCAACCCUCGUUCUUAGUUUGCCAGCAUUUAAGUUGGGGCACUUUAGGAAGACUGCCGGGU
This 738-nucleotide ribosomal RNA is filed under the name uncultured Pleurocapsa sp. RNAcentral describes it as "bacterial SSU rRNA". It matches the Rfam family "Bacterial small subunit ribosomal RNA", at positions 406 to 1157 of the family's 1533-position model. Lineage: Bacteria; Bacillati; Cyanobacteriota; Cyanophyceae; Pleurocapsales; Pleurocapsaceae. The record is from RNAcentral.